RNAcentral lists this ribosomal RNA (733 nucleotides) under Syntermes spinosus. Its description in RNAcentral is "partial large subunit ribosomal RNA". The stretch from base 286 to 503 matches the Rfam family "Bacterial large subunit ribosomal RNA", at positions 1692 to 2034 of the family's 2925-position model. Lineage: Eukaryota; Metazoa; Arthropoda; Insecta; Blattodea; Termitidae. The record is from RNAcentral.
UUAAUUCAUGCAUCUUAUUUAAUUUCUGUUUUUAUUUAUUUAUUUUUAUUUGAUGUUAAGAUUAAGGGGGAUUAGCUCUUUAUUUUAUUUUUAUAAUUUUUUGUUUGAUUUAGUUUUGUGGAUUUUAUAGUGAUUUUCAAUUUGAUUAUGUUAAAAUUUUAUUUAUCUUUUUGUUUCUUUUAGGGUUGUGAUUUAAGGUUUUAUUGGAAUGUUUGUUUUAGUUUGUGAUUGUAUGGUAAUUAUUGUGUAAUUAGUAAAUCUUGUUUAAUUGCGUUGUAUUAUGAGACGAUAAUUUUCUUUGAGGAAUUAGGCAAAAAUAUUGUGUCCGCCUGUUUAACAAAAACAUCUUUUCUUGUUAGUUUUUGAAGUAUGGCCUGCCCGCUGACUUUGAGUUGAAGGGCCGCGGUAUUUUGACCGUGCAAAGGUAGCAUAAUCAUUAGUUCUUUAAUUGUGAUCUGGUAUGAAUGGCUUGACGAGACAUGAGCUGUCUUAGGGGUAUUUGUUGUUGAAUUUAGUUUUUGAGUUAAAAUUCUUAAAUGUUUUUAUGGGACGAGAAGACCCUAUAGAGUUUGACAUAUUGCUUUGCCUGUAUUUUGUUGUUUGUUUUAAGGUUUGGUUGGGGUUGUAUGUUUUGUUGGGGUGAUGGGAGGUGUUUUCUUAACUCCUCUUUGUUUAUUAUAUAUUUAUUUAUAUUUGUUUGAUCCAUUUAUUUUGAUUAUAAGAUUAAAUUACC